AAUCUUGAUGGUUUUUAGAAACAGAUAGAGAGCUCGUCUGAAGGAGAUGGGACAUACGAUUGGGAGGUUAAGCGGCCCAUCCUGAAACGCUGGAAACAGAUGGAGAGCUCAUCUAAUAAUGAUGUGAUCAAGUCAGGGAAAUAUGUACCAAAUGAAAGAGAAGAUUCAAAAGAGAACCAGAGAAAGGAAGACAUGAUGCAAGAACAGGAUGAGAAAGCACUGAUGAGCCCAUCUCGAGUCCUACCACUGAAUACAGCCAGCGUUACACUGGAUCUUGUCACUCUGAAGGCACCUAUAU
Molecule: long non-coding RNA, 298 nt
Organism: Scatophagus argus
Lineage: Eukaryota; Metazoa; Chordata; Actinopteri; Scatophagidae
Exons: 3
Source: RefSeq, a predicted model, not a curated record